RNAcentral lists this ribosomal RNA (515 nucleotides) under Bacillus sp. (in: firmicutes). RNAcentral describes it as "bacterial SSU rRNA". It matches the Rfam family "Bacterial small subunit ribosomal RNA", at positions 38 to 534 of the family's 1533-position model. Lineage: Bacteria; Bacillati; Bacillota; Bacilli; Caryophanales; Bacillaceae. The record is from RNAcentral.
GGCUGGCGCUGCUAUACAUGCAAGUCGAGCGAACUGAUUAGAAGCUUGCUUCUAUGACGUUAGCGGCGGACGGGUGAGUAACACGUGGGCAACCUGCCUGUAAGACUGGGAUAACUUCGGGAAACCGAAGCUAAUACCGGAUAGGAUCUUCUCCUUCAUGGGAGAUGAUUGAAAGAUGGUUUCGGCUAUCACUUACAGAUGGGCCCGCGGUGCAUUAGCUAGUUGGUGAGGUAACGGCUCACCAAGGCAACGAUGCAUAGCCGACCUGAGAGGGUGAUCGGCCACACUGGGACUGAGACACGGCCCAGACUCCUACGGGAGGCAGCAGUAGGGAAUCUUCCGCAAUGGACGAAAGUCUGACGGAGCAACGCCGCGUGAGUGAUGAAGGCUUUCGGGUCGUAAAACUCUGUUGUUAGGGAAGAACAAGUACGAUGGUAACUGCUCGUACCUUGACGGUACCUAACCAGAAAGGCGCGGCGAACUACGUGCCAGCUGCCGAGGUACUACGCAGGUUG